CCUACGGGAUGCAGCAGUGGGGAAUAUUGGGCACUGGAGUCAACUCUGAUCCAGCAAUGCCGCGUGCGUGAUGAAGGUAAUUUUAGUGUAACGCUCUUUUCUUUGGAACGAAUAAAUGACGGUAACAAAGGAAUAAGCCCCGGCUAACUACGUGCAAGAAGCCGCGGUUAUACGUAGGGGGCCAGCGUUGUUUGGAAUGACUGGGCGUAAAGGGUGUGUAGGUGGUUUGAUAAGUUAGAUGUGUAAUACCCAGGGAUUAACUCGGGUGCUGCAUCUAAAACUGUUAGACUUGAGUACUGGAGAGGAGAGUGGAAUUCCUAGUGUAGCGGUGGAAUGCGUAGAUAUUAGGAGGAACAUCAGUGGCGAAGGCGACUAUCUGGACAGCAACUGACACUGAGGCACGAAAGCGUGGGGAGCAAACAGGAGUAGAUACCCUUGUAGUC
Molecule: ribosomal RNA, 443 nt
Filed under: uncultured bacterium
Lineage: Bacteria
Description: partial 16S ribosomal RNA
Rfam family: Bacterial small subunit ribosomal RNA
Source: RNAcentral